GAAGAUGACACCUUUAUCUCUGGCAUGCCUCCUCUUCGUAGCUUCCUUUUCUGGUGAAGCACUGGCUGCUACUCCGAGCAAAUUGGUCCUCGGGAUCGCCAGCAACCUAGGAUGUGGAGUCCCCGCAGACGUAAACGACUGCGUCCUAGCCAAGCUCCGGUCCUUUAUAGACAAAAGCAAAAAUGCCCUGAUUGAAGCGGCCAAGACCAGGUACGGCGGCGUGGGCUCCGACCCCAUUUCGAGGAUCGCGUUCCCAAAGAGGACUGUGGGCAUCUUCUCCGUCUCUGGUAGCCGCAUCAAAGUGACCGGACUCUCCACGCUCCGCGUCACCCACGUAAAGCUGUUUGGCGAUUCUGUGCUGACGAUUCUUCAGGUGAAGAAGUUGGUCAUCAAGGGCCAGUUCCUCUUGCAAUA
Pollicipes pollicipes is the source of this 414-nucleotide long non-coding RNA. RefSeq lists it as uncharacterized. The transcript has 4 exons. The record is from RefSeq and is a predicted model, not a curated record. Lineage: Eukaryota; Metazoa; Arthropoda; Thecostraca; Pollicipedomorpha; Pollicipedidae.